Molecule: unclassified non-coding RNA, 348 nt
Filed under: soil metagenome
Description: partial contains 5.8S ribosomal RNA, internal transcribed spacer 2, and large subunit ribosomal RNA
Rfam family: 5.8S ribosomal RNA (bases 1-120)
Source: RNAcentral
GAUGAAGAACGUAGCGAAAUGCGAUAAGUAAUGUGAAUUGCAGAAUUCAGUGAAUCAUCGAGUCUUUGAACGCACAUUGCGCCCCCUGGUAUUCCGGGGGGCAUGCCUGUCCGAGCGUCAUUGCCGCCCUCAAGCACGGCUUGUGUGUUGGGCCCCCGCCCCCGGGCUUCGGGGGGCGGGCCCGAAAGGCAGCGGCGGCACCGCGUCCGGUCCUCGAGCGUAUGGGGCUUCGUCACCCGCUCUGUAGGCCCGGCCGGCGCCCGCCGGCGACCCCAAUCAAUCUUUCCAGGUUGACCUCGGAUCAGGUAGGGAUACCCGCUGAACUUAAGCAUAUCAAUAAGCGGAGGA